AUUGUGGGGAAUGUUGUCUGGCUCGAGGAAUCUUUAAUCUUGAUCAAAUUCUUUACACAGAUCUAGUAUUAUAUAUGUUGUAUAUAUUUUUAGAUCUUAUAUAGAUCUAUAAUUGCUAGUUGUUAGAUCUAUGAAUUUGGUCAUAUAUUUUUGCGUCGUCGGACCAGGCUUCAUUCCCCUCAAA
Molecule: microRNA precursor, 184 nt
Organism: Nicotiana attenuata
Lineage: Eukaryota; Viridiplantae; Streptophyta; Magnoliopsida; Solanales; Solanaceae
Rfam family: mir-166 microRNA precursor family
About the family: This family represents the plant microRNA (miRNA) precursor mir-166. Animal miRNAs are transcribed as ~70nt precursors and subsequently processed by the Dicer enzyme to give a ~22nt product.
Source: Rfam